This 250-nucleotide ribosomal RNA is filed under the name uncultured prokaryote. RNAcentral describes it as "partial 16S rRNA". It matches the Rfam family "Bacterial small subunit ribosomal RNA", at positions 525 to 775 of the family's 1533-position model. The record is from RNAcentral.
ACGUAGGGGGCAAGCGUUAUCCGGAAUUAUUGGGCGUAAAGAGUGCUUAGGCGGUUUUCUAAUCGUGAGGAUAAUUCCAUUAGCUUUACACUUGUAAGGAUUGCGUACUGGAAGAAUUGAGUACAGUAUAGGAAAGAGGAAUUUCUAGUGUAGCGGUGAAAUGCGUAGAUAUUGGGAGGAACACCAGAGGCGAAGGCGACUUGCUGGGCUGUAACUGACGCUCAGUCACGAAAGCGUGGGUAGCAAACAG